RNAcentral lists this transfer RNA (85 nucleotides) under Felis catus (domestic cat). It matches the Rfam family "tRNA". From Rfam's summary of the family: Transfer RNA (tRNA) molecules are approximately 80 nucleotides in length. Their secondary structure includes four short double-helical elements and three loops (D, anti-codon, and T loops). Further hydrogen bonds mediate the characteristic L-shaped molecular structure. tRNAs have two regions of fundamental functional importance: the anti-codon, which is responsible for specific mRNA codon recognition, and the 3' end, to which the tRNAs corresponding amino acid is attached (by aminoacyl-tRNA synthetases). tRNAs cope with the degeneracy of the genetic code in two manners: having more than one tRNA (with a specific anti-codon) for a particular amino acid; and 'wobble' base-pairing, i.e. permitting non-standard base-pairing at the 3rd anti-codon position. The record is from Rfam by way of RNAcentral. Lineage: Eukaryota; Metazoa; Chordata; Mammalia; Carnivora; Felidae. RNAcentral also lists the same sequence under 1 other name.
GCCUGGGUGGCUCAGUCGGUUGAGCGUCUGACUUCAACUCAGGUCAUGAUCUCAUGGUCCGUGAGUUCGAGCCCCGUGUCAGGCU